UCCAAACCCUACGAGGAUGGGAACAAGAU
RNAcentral lists this non-coding RNA (29 nucleotides) under Rattus norvegicus (Norway rat). The record is from RNAcentral. Lineage: Eukaryota; Metazoa; Chordata; Mammalia; Rodentia; Muridae.